This 887-nucleotide long non-coding RNA is filed under the name Nicotiana benthamiana. RNAcentral's name for it is "long non-coding RNA (NBEN_LNC029347)". Lineage: Eukaryota; Viridiplantae; Streptophyta; Magnoliopsida; Solanales; Solanaceae. The record is from RNAcentral.
UUAAAAACAUUUGAUGACCAAAUACAUAACAGAACUAAAAUAUAAUAUGGCGUUCAAACUCACUGAGAGUCUUUUAUUUCAAAUUUGCAUACCAUAUCUUAGCAACAACUUGUGAAUUACUCAUGGAGCUCCGUUUUUUGCCUUGAAAUUACAGAUCUAAUCCAACUAGAAACACAGAAUAUGCAAGUUCUUAUCAAUUUGAGUUUCAUGUUCAAGCCAAUACGUUAUAGCAAAUUCAAUUGGCUAACAACAAUAUUCCUAAUGACAACAUGAAUCGAGUAAUUCACAUAAAAAUUGCAUUUCAAGUUAUUUCACUAUUUCAUCCAAAUGGAAGAGAAAUACGCAUUGUACACACCAGAACAACAGAAAUUGUACUUGGACAAAUCCAAAAAAAAAUUGAAUAAAUGUGAACACAGCAGUUUUAAUCAUUCAAUGAGAUCAUAAUACGAGAAAUAUUAGGGAACUGGGCUAAUUGAAAAUGAAACACUGAAAUGAGCCCAAAUAUGGUAGAAAUCAACCCAGGUGUAGCUCAGCAACAAUUUCGGAACAACAGCAGGGAUAGUAAAUAAUCCUCAGCAGCUUUUGUAAACCCAGGAGAAUGGAUAUGAAAUAUAAAAACUCAUCUCUGCUCCUUUGUAUUUUUUCCGAGCUCCAAAACUCUGUGAUCUCAGUUUGAAUUCUUAAAAUCCAAAUCUUUCUCGUAUGAGUGUGAGAGCGAGGGAGGAGAGAGGGAAACCGAUGAGAGAGAACGAGUUUUGUGAAUGUAUCUGUGAAUUGUGUGUGUGUGAAGAUGGGUUAGUACAGAUGAGAAAGUGAAAGGAUUACGGGCGCCUAGGGUUUUUGUUCAAAGGGUGGAAAUUCGGAUUUCUAGAGAUGGCAAGAGGGAG